UUGUGAAUGACUGCUGACAGACUAAGGGGGAAGCCAUGGGAAUGAAAUCUGAAACCUAGGAACUACUGGCUACUUUGUUUCCCACAUGUGGAACAGUUGUUCCCAGCCCUGGCCCCACCUUAGAAUCACCUUGGGAAACUAAAAUAAUACCCUGGCACCCACCCCCAGAGAUUCUAGUCAACUUGGUCGGGGGUCGGACCCAGGUAUCAAUAUUUCUUUAAAACUCCUCAGGUGAUUUAAAUGUGCAACCAGUGAUGAGAAUUACUGAACCAACAAAAGAAGCUGACCACGAGGAGAAAGAGUCAUAACCCUCAGCAGUGCCAGAAGAGACAUACACACACACAGGCUGAAUUCCUCGCCAGACUUUCUUUCACACUGUUCUGUUGACAAAUUCUUUUUUCAAUUACCUGAGAUAUUCCAGUGUCUUUCCAAUAAAUCCUCCUUUUAUCCUAUGCUAAUGUAAGUUGCAUUUGUGUGAUUUGCAAACAAAGAAGUCUGUUCUAGAUCUCUGUUUUUUGUGUGCUCAGGCGUAUUAGAUUUUUACUCUUGUAGAAUAGUGUCACUCCAUUCAUGUCCUCAUUCACUAAGUUAUUAAACCAUAAUGCCCACACUAUUCCAAGUUCUGUGCUACUUACCAGGAAUACUAAAAUAAAGAGACUCAACUGUUCCUUUAUUUGAAUAUCUUCUACUCCAGUAAGGGAAAUGGGCACAUUAACAGAGAGAAGUAGUAACCUAAGACGUGUUAUAUAAGUAUUGACUGGUUACUGGGAGAGUACUGAGGAAAGGUAUGGUCUGGUUAUAUCAUGGGAACCUUCACAAAGGAGGUGAUUUUAGUGUUGCCUCUGGAGGAGUAAUUAAUGUUACCUUGUAGACUAUGAAGAGUCAGCAUGAGAAACUACAUAGCCAAGGGACCAGAAUUAUAAAAGAGUAAGUCAUGUUAGAAAAUAAGUAUUUUUUUAUGGCUGGGCUGAAAGUUUAUGCUAGGGGUGGGGGUUAGGAAGCAGAGAAUAGACCAUAGACAUUUGCAUUUGUCAUGCUAACUAUUUGAGAUUUUAACUUGUGGCUAUUACAGAGAUACUGGAAAGGUAAAGAUAGAGCAGGGCUUUGACGAAUUGGCAUCCUGGAAAGAUUUCUCUGGAGAAGUGAUUGGGCAUAGACCAGAUUGUCUGGAAGUAAUCACGUCAGGAGGGCCACUGCAACUGUCCAGAAGAGAUCCUAAAUUAAGACUGAUAAUGAGGAGGGGAAAAAAAAAAAAUUAGAAGGUAGAUUCCCCUGAAGUCAAAUAAAGAGGGUGUGUAUGUGGCAUUGGGGAGAGUGAGAAAAAAGGAUGAGGAUGAGACCCUAAAGAAGGCUUACCUGUAGGGAACAGGGGAGUAGACAGGUAGAAGAAAAACCAUUUGCAGAGGGAAAGGAAAAGCUAUAGAACUAGGAAAGCAUGGUAUUGGGAAGUCAAUAUCAUCUCCAAUGACUUCUGUAUGGAGUUUCAAUAGAGUGGAAUUAUCCACCAACAAAAGUUCAUUUUUUUCUUUAGACAUAUAUGUAUUUUUUUCACUCUGCAACUAGUAGGGCUUAAUACUGAUGAAACAAAACCGAGGGCUGCUGUUUUUCUCUGAGCCUCUUCCCAAGCCUCUGCUCCAGCAAGACCAAAUUUAUCCCCACUGUGGUGCUCUGGCAGGUCAGAAGACUGGAGAGAGAGGUAAGUGAAGGAUACAACUAGAUGUUUCAUGUUGGUCCACUUAGCUCUCAUGACAGUGGGACAAAAUCCAGGCCCUCUCUGUGCUUGUUGGCAGAUGAACAAACUAGAGGGAAGGCCUCUCUGAGGAGGUCUGGGGACUCUAGCAGGGAAUAACUGGAAUAGGUGGGAGUAAGCUUGCUUGAAGCUCUUGUACGCGGUUACAAAGUGGGACUGUGACGCUCAUGAGGUGAAACUCUUGGUCUAAGCUCUCAGAUCUAAUGCGAGAGUUUCAGCUUUAUCAUUUUCUUUGUCUCUCUAGGCCCUUUGUCUUAGCAAAUGGUUCUUAUUAAAAACUGAGUAUCUAAAUUCUCACUUGGAAAUUGAAAUGAUAAGUAAACAACUUCCUAUUAUCUUCAGCCUGCUUCACUUGAAUUUGCCUACCAAGCAUUCAUUCUCUCUUCUGGUAUCAACACCUGACUUUUCUUUGGGAAACCACCUCUGCCUCAUUGCAUAUCGGUUGGUGAGACUGCUAGUUUUAAGAAAUCCUGCUGUGCCCUAGCCGAGGAGUAAGCACAUGGCGUAAGCACUAAGACUCUGAGCAAAUCAGAGUGAGACAGAGGUGGAAAACAUGUGGAGCUGACUCAUCACAAUGGCAGUGCUUUCAUGAGACUGUUCACAAGGUUCUGCUCCAAGGAACUUUCUUCUCUAGAGUAUCUGAUUCUUAUUCUUUUCUUUUUCAGGCUAAGAUUUAAACCUUUCCUCCCAGUCAUUUACUUUUUAAUUGGCUUUAUUUGGACAAAUUUGGUUUUCUGUAUUUGCAAACAAAGGAUUGCAGGAAAAACAUUCUAGAAAUUACCUAGUAGAUUACUCAAUGUAGUUAUAGCUAGAUUAUGGGUUCAUUUUAUUUUUUGUUAAUAAAUUACAGGCUUUUUUUUUUUUUUCUUUUUAGGGCUUUUUAGGGCAUAUGGAAGUUCCCAGGCUAGGGGUUGAAUCAGAGCUACAGCUGCCAGCCUACACCACAGCCACACCAACAUGGAUCCCAGCUGCAUCUGCGACCUGUACUACAGCUCACAAAUAUGCAAGAUCCUUAACCCACUGAAUGAGGCUAGGGGUUGAACCCACAUCCUCAAGGAUACUAGUCGGGCUCAUUACCGCUGAGCCACCUCCUAAAUUACAGUAUUUUUACAUGCUACAAAACUUUGGAAUUUGAGCAAAACACUAAUCUAAUUUUCUUGUAUCAUGCCAACUGCAAUGCAGAAUUCAGAAAUAGUGUAAGAUUCUAAAUAACACACCAUGCCCAGAGAGAGGCAUAGGCAGGGGCCCAGGGUAUGCUAAAAAUAACCUAAUCCAAGUAUAGGAUUUCUUUUGCUAAUUGAGGAGAUGCCUAUAAAGGAUAAAAGAGUAAGUAAAGAUAAAAAGCAAAUAAGAAAAUGCUAAUAGCUAACAUAUAGUUGACUUAAGGGAUGUGAGAAUAGAUAUUUUAAACAAACUUAGGUGUGAUGAUUGUGUUAUAAUUAUGUAAGAAAAUAUUCUUUUUAUUUUUCGAGAUACACUGUUUUAUUUAAAAGUGAAAUAACAUGACAUCAGGAAUUUCUUUAAAAGUCUUUCAGCAAUAGAAACAAUAUCAUGGAGUUCCCGUCGUGGCUCAGCUGUAACAGACCCCACUAGGAUCCAUGAGGAGCAGGUUCAAUCCCUGGGCUUGCUCGGUGGGUUAAGGAUCUAGCAAUGCCGUGAGCCGUGGUGUAGGUUGCAGACGUGGUGCGGAUCCGAGUUACUGUGGCUGUGGUGUAAGCCUGCAGCUGUAGCUCUGACUGUCCCCUAGCCUGGGAACUUCCAUAUGCCAUGGGUGUGGCCCUAAAAACAAAAAGAAAAAAAAAAAAGGGAAAAAAAAAGAAACAAUAUCAGAGAAAUCAUAAUAACUGAAAGAAAAAGGGUAGCAAACAUGUUGAUGACUCAUAGGGGUCCCGUAUAGUAGUGACAUUCUCUACUUUUGUGUAUGGGAAUUCGCCAAAUAAAAAAGUUUAAAAUAUUGAGGGAUUAAGAGGCGCAAACUUCUAGCUAUAAAAUAACCAAAUCAUGAGGAUGUAAUGUACAGCAUAGGGAAUUUGGUCAAUAAUAUUAUAAUAACUCUGUAUGGUAACAGAUGGUAACUAGACUUAUCAUUUCAUAAUGUAUAAAAAUAUUGAAUCACUAUGUUAUACACCUGAAGCUAAUACAAUAUUGUAUGUCAAUUAUAAUUCAAUAUUAAAUAGAGUGAAACACCUUUAAGAAGUUAAUUCAUCUGUGUCUGUAUAUUCUUGUACUGACAUUUAGAUCCCUUCAUCAUUACUUAAAGCACCUCAGAAGUUGUGUCUUUUGGCAGUGAUUUCCAUCCUUCUUUUGUAAUUUACUCAGUCUCAUGAUUUAUAAAAGAUUUGCUUAUUAGUGAUGACCUGCUGAUAGUAAAUUAUUUUAUUAAGCUCUUUGAAAUAUAGCCCAUCCUCUAAUGCGCCCACCUACACCCAAAGAAAAACCAAAAUUUAGGAAUGCAAAAUGAAGAAGCAAAAGCUUAUGCAUACCUAACUUGAUUUUUGAGUUCAAUUUUUUAAAUGUUAAAAUAAUAAAAAACAGCCUACUAAAUGUCCUUUAGGGGGAAAAACCUUUCAAAUAUUCAGCCUAUUGCAAAGAUGUAAAGGUGCCAGAUUACUAAGCACUGCUCGUCUUUAAUUUACCCUUUAUGUUCAGGUAUUUUUAAAAAACCAAAGCUAGCCUGGCAAAAUCCUAUUUUAUUUUUAUUGCUUCUACUUUUUAAUAGCAGCCAAUCUUGGAGAACAGAGGUCACAGGGAACACAAUGAGUCACUAGUCAAACUAUGAGAAUGCUGGUAUGAACAAUUAUUGUACACAAAUUAGACCAUAGUACUUCAUUCUCUUGCUUGGGUAUGGCUAAUAUAGUCUAUCCUCUUGAUCUUUGCAAUGUUUACUACAAUAAUGAACAAUUUGGUUAAUCUGCCUGUAAAAAUUGAUUUUGUUUGUCCUCCAAUAUUUUGUACUAAUAAGAAUUUCCCUUUAAAACAUAACUGGUUCUGCCUCAUCAACCUCAGACUUUCAUUUUAGAGUGAAUCUUCUAAUUAUAAAACCAUCCGGUGACAGUCUGGACAAAAAUGGCAUUCUGGUUAAUACUCACCACAAAAGAAUAUGGAUGUCUGAGUUUAUACUAAUGCACACCCCCCACCUAAAAAUGGGGGAACCUGUAGAAGUUAGUUAUGAUACUAUUUCAUCUAAAACAUGUGAUACAGUCUUACUAUUUCAGAUGAAAAUAUAGGUGAUAACUAUUCAGAGAGGGAUAGAAUAUCUGUUAAAGAAGGUCAGAUAGUUUCAUGCAAGUUAAUUUUCAGAAGCAAACAGAUCUUGAAAUGUUCUGAUGAUAGGCGACUCCAAUUGGCAUUUUCUCAAACAUUCUGCUAAAAGAAAAGAGGGAAGUUUGAUAACAUCAAGAUCAGCUUCCCUUUUGUAAAGUUUUCUUAAAUCAUAACUUCUUUUCUAUAGGAACAAAAGCAGCAUGACCCUAUUUCAAAAUGGGGACAAAUAAAUACUACAUAGAACUGAAAACAAUUUCAAUGAGUUCAUUUCAUAUGGUUCUUCUGCAUGAUGGCAGGAAUGUCACGCAGAUUUGUUCAGAAUUAUUGAAAAAGCAACUAGAAAAAAAACACAGUACUUUUUUUUCUGUUUAGUCUGUGAAUGAAGGGAAAGGUGAUAUGUUAAAGAAAGGUUCUUAACUGUACUCUAGUCAUGGGAGAAGCAAACUGUAACUGACUUGUGUUUUAUAUCCCCUUUGUUUCAAAGAAAGAUUUUGAGGCAGGUAUAAGAUUUUAAAGCAAGGACAUAAUUACUGAUGAAAGAGUCUCUACAGUACUUGAAAAACCCAUGAAAGGGAGAUUUUCUCUGUCCCUUUUUUAUGUGCCUUUGUAGCUCUAAAACUACAAUGAUUCUGUAAUGGUUCAAUAGCAAAAACUGGCCUUCUGCUGUCAGGGGUAGAUCAGCACACAGUAUAGAUCAGUACUGUCUGCAAAGUAUUUGGUCCCUAUGGAAGUUGUUCUUCCAUCAUC
RNAcentral lists this long non-coding RNA (5761 nucleotides) under Sus scrofa (pig). Its description in RNAcentral is "lncRNA (ENSSSCG00015048240.1)". Lineage: Eukaryota; Metazoa; Chordata; Mammalia; Artiodactyla; Suidae. The record is from RNAcentral.